RNAcentral lists this ribosomal RNA (503 nucleotides) under uncultured bacterium. Its description in RNAcentral is "bacterial SSU rRNA". It matches the Rfam family "Bacterial small subunit ribosomal RNA", at positions 28 to 520 of the family's 1533-position model. The record is from RNAcentral.
GAUGAACGCUAGCGACAGGCUUAACACAUGCAAGUCGAGGGGCAGCAUGAUUUGUAGCAAUACAGAUUGAUGGCGACCGGCGCACGGGUGAGUAACGCGUAUGCAACUUACCUAUCAGAGGGGGAUAGCCCGGCGAAAGUCGGAUUAAUACCCCAUAAAACAGGGGUCCCGCAUGGGAAUAUUUGUUAAAGAUUCAUCGCUGAUAGAUAGGCAUGCGUUCCAUUAGGCAGUUGGCGGGGUAACGGCCCACCAAACCGACGAUGGAUAGGGGUUCUGAGAGGAAGGUCCCCCACAUUGGUACUGAGACACGGGACCAAACUCCUACGGGAGGCAGCAGUGAGGAAUAUUGGUCAAUGGCCGAGAGGCUGAACCAGCCAAGUCGCGUGAAGGAAGAAGGAUCUAUGGUUUGUAAACUUCUUUUAUAGGGGAAUAAAGUGGAGGACGUGUCCUUUUUGAUGUACCCUAUGAAUAAGCAUCGGCUAACUCCGUGCCAGCAGCCGCGG